This is a regulatory RNA element of Planococcus rifietoensis, 89 nucleotides long. It matches the Rfam family "pan motif". The record is from Rfam. Lineage: Bacteria; Bacillati; Bacillota; Bacilli; Caryophanales; Caryophanaceae.
AGGGUGGUAUCCAUCAGGAACUGCACCUGUAAAAAAGCUUAACAACUCAAUAGAUCUGCCUUGAUCUGAAAAACGACAGGGACGGAGAA